AGCGGGAUAGGAUAGCUCGGAGAUUCCGCUAGGCUCAUGACCUGGAGAUCGGUGGUUCAAGUCCACCUCCCGCUA
Non-coding RNA from Natronorubrum tibetense GA33, 75 nucleotides. NCBI's taxonomy places the organism in Archaea, Methanobacteriati, Methanobacteriota, Halobacteria, Halobacteriales, Natrialbaceae. The record is from Rfam.